UACGUAGGUGGCAAGCGUUGUCCGGAAUCAUUGGGCGUAAAGCGCGUGUAGGCGGUCCGGUAAGUCCGCUGUGAAAGUCGAGGGCUCAACCCUCGAAUGCCGGUGGAUACUGUCGGGCUUGAGUACGGGAGAGGCGAGUGGAAUUCCUGGUGUAGCGGUGAAAUGCGCAGAUAUCAGGAGGAACACCGAUUGCGAAGGCAGCUCGCUGGAACGUUACUGACGCUGAGACGCGAAAGCGUGGGGAGCAAACAGG
RNAcentral lists this ribosomal RNA (253 nucleotides) under uncultured bacterium. RNAcentral describes it as "partial 16S ribosomal RNA". It matches the Rfam family "Bacterial small subunit ribosomal RNA", at positions 524 to 776 of the family's 1533-position model. The record is from RNAcentral.